Oncorhynchus keta (chum salmon) is the source of this 291-nucleotide long non-coding RNA. RefSeq lists it as uncharacterized. The transcript is spliced from 4 exons. NCBI's taxonomy places the organism in Eukaryota, Metazoa, Chordata, Actinopteri, Salmoniformes, Salmonidae. The record is from RefSeq and is a predicted model, not a curated record.
UCAGGUAAGGACAUCAGCUCUCCAUUCUGUAUCUUCAGGUAAGGACAUCAGCUCUCCAUUCUGUAUCUUCAGGUAAGGACAUCAGCUCUCCAUUCUGUAUCUUCAGGUAAGGACAUCAGCUCUCCAUUCUGUAUCUUCAGGUAAGGACAUCAGCUCUCCAUUCUGUAUCUUCAGGUAAGGACAUCAGCUCUCCAUUCUGUAUCUUCAGGUAAGGACAUCAGCUCUCCAUUCUGUAUCUUCAGGUAAGGACAUCAGCUCUCCAUUCUGUAUCUUCAGGUAAGGACAUCAGCU